RNAcentral lists this ribosomal RNA (301 nucleotides) under uncultured bacterium. Its description in RNAcentral is "partial 16S ribosomal RNA". It matches the Rfam family "Bacterial small subunit ribosomal RNA", at positions 509 to 807 of the family's 1533-position model. The record is from RNAcentral.
CAGUCGCCGCGGGAAUACAGAGGGUGCGAGCGUUAAUCGGAUUUACUGGGCGUAAAGCGUGCGUAGGCGGCUUCUUAAGUCGGAUGUGAAAUCCCUGAGCUUAACUUAGGAAUUGCAUUCGAUACUGGGAAGCUAGAGUAUGGGAGAGGAUGGUAGAAUUCCAGGUGUAGCGGUGAAAUGCGUAGAGAUCUGGAGGAAUACCGAUGGCGAAGGCAGCCAUCUGGCCUAAUACUGACGCUGAGGUACUAAAGCAUGGGGAGCAAACAGGAUUAGAUACCCCUGUAGUCCCUGUCUCUUAUAC